GUCUACGGCCAUACCUCCCUGAAUGCACCCAAUCUCGUCUCAUCUUGGAGGCUAAGCAGGGUCGGGUCUGGUUAGUACUUGGACAGGAGGAAGGAAAUGUCAGUGGAGGCC
This 111-nucleotide ribosomal RNA is filed under the name Capra hircus (goat). The record is from RNAcentral. Lineage: Eukaryota; Metazoa; Chordata; Mammalia; Artiodactyla; Bovidae.